RNAcentral lists this non-coding RNA (21 nucleotides) under Rattus norvegicus (Norway rat). The record is from RNAcentral. Lineage: Eukaryota; Metazoa; Chordata; Mammalia; Rodentia; Muridae.
GAACAAACUGAGGAGAGAAAG